This 465-nucleotide ribosomal RNA is filed under the name uncultured bacterium. RNAcentral describes it as "bacterial SSU rRNA". It matches the Rfam family "Bacterial small subunit ribosomal RNA", at positions 34 to 518 of the family's 1533-position model. The record is from RNAcentral.
CGCUGGCGGCAUGCCUAACACAUGCAAGUCGAACGGGGGUAGCAAUACCCUAGUGGCGAACGGGUGAGUAACACAUAAGCAAUCUGCCCUUCACAGGGGGAUAACAGCGGGAAACUGCUGCUAAUACCGCAUAAGACCACGGUACCGCAUGGUACAGGGGUAAAAACGAAUCAGUGGUGAAGGAUGAGCUUAUGUCCCAUUAGCUAGUUGGUGAGAUAACAGCCCACCAAGGCGACGAUGGGUAGCCGACCUGAGAGGGUGAUCGGCCACACUGGAACUGAGACACGGUCCAGACUCCUACGGGAGGCAGCAGUGGGGAAUAUUGGGCAAUGGAGGAAAAACCUCUUACCCAGCAAUGCCGCGUGAGUGAAGAAGGUCUUCGGAUUGUAAAGCUCUUUGAUUGGGGACGAAGAAAGUGACGGUACCCAAAGAACAAGCCCCGGCUAACUACGUGCCAGCAGCCGC